UACGUAGGGGGCAAGCGUUGUCCGGAUUUAUUGGGCGUAAAGAGCGUGUAGGCGGUCAUGCAGGUCAGCUGUGAAAACUCGAGGCUCAACCUCGAGACGUCGGUUGAAACCGUAUGGCUAGAGUCCGGAAGAGGAGAGUGGAAUUCCCGGUGUAGCGGUGAAAUGCGCAGAUAUCGGGAAGAACACCUAUGGCGAAGGCAGCUCUCUGGGACGGUACUGACGCUGAGACGCGAAAGCGUGGGGAGCAAACAGG
Molecule: ribosomal RNA, 253 nt
Filed under: uncultured bacterium
Lineage: Bacteria
Description: partial 16S ribosomal RNA
Rfam family: Bacterial small subunit ribosomal RNA
Source: RNAcentral